RNAcentral lists this ribosomal RNA (465 nucleotides) under uncultured bacterium. Its description in RNAcentral is "partial 16S ribosomal RNA". It matches the Rfam family "Bacterial small subunit ribosomal RNA", at positions 338 to 795 of the family's 1533-position model. The record is from RNAcentral.
CCUACGGGUGGCAGCAGUAGGGAAUCUUCCACAAUGGGCGAAAGCCUGAUGGAGCAACGCCGCGUGGGUGAAGAAGGUCUUCGGAGCGUAAAACCCUGUUGUUAGAGAAGAAAGUGCGUGAGAGUAACUGUUCACGUGUCGACGGUAUCUAACCAGAAAGCCACGGCUAACGACGUGCCAGCAGCCGCGGUAAUACGAAGGUGGCAAGCGUUAGCCGGAUUUAUUGGGCGUAAAGGGAACGCAGGCGGUCUUUUAAGUCUGAGGUGAAAGCCUUCGGCUUACCCGGAGUAGUGCAUUGGAAACUGGGAGACUUGAGUGCAGAAGAGGCGAGUGGAACUCCAUGUGUAGCGGUGAAAUGCGUAGAUAUCUGGCAGAACCCCAGUGGCGAACGCGGCUCUCUGGUCUGUAACUGACGCUGAGGUUCGAACGCGUGGGUAGCAAACAGGAUUAGAUACCCCAGUAGUC